GAUGAACGCUGACAGAAUGCUUAACACAUGCAAGUCAACUUGAAUUUGGGUUUUUAACUUAGGUUUGGGUGGCGGACGGGUGAGUAACGCGUAAAGAACUUGCCUCACAGCUAGGGACAACAUUUGGAAACGAAUGCUAAUACCUAAUAUUAUGAUAAUAGGGCAUCCUAUAAUUAUGAAAGCUAUAAGCGCUGUGAGAGAGCUUUGCGUCCCAUUAGCUAGUUGGAGAGGUAACGGCUCACCAAGGCGAUGAUGGGUAGCCGGCCUGAGAGGGUGAUCGGCCACAAGGGGACUGAGACACGGCCCUUACUCAUACGGGAGGCAGCAGUGGGGAAUAUUGGACGAUGGACCGAGAGUCUGAUCCAGCAAUUCUGUGUGCACGAUGAAGUUUUUCGGAAUGUAAAGUGCUUUCAGUUGGGAAGAAACAAAUGACGGUACCAACAGAAGAAGUGACGGCUAAAUACGUG
Molecule: ribosomal RNA, 467 nt
Filed under: uncultured bacterium
Lineage: Bacteria
Description: partial 16S ribosomal RNA
Rfam family: Bacterial small subunit ribosomal RNA
Source: RNAcentral